This 29-nucleotide non-coding RNA is filed under the name Homo sapiens (human). Lineage: Eukaryota; Metazoa; Chordata; Mammalia; Primates; Hominidae. The record is from RNAcentral.
UAUAGGAGAUUUGGGACCCACACCAGGUA